GCUGAAACACGUCGGCGGACUGUUCGACGCCGACCGCUGCUGUCACUGUGAAAGCUCAGCAAGGGAUUCAGUGGGAUUUCUGGUAGCAGUUUAGCUCGCAUCACUCAGCUGGAACUAUCUGUGGUCAGUAGCUGAUUAUGGCCGCCGCGUUUAAUCGGAGCAUUGUAAACCGCCUUCGUGAUUUCUAGUCGGGUAUGGUAUAGCCCACUAGCUUCCUAAAAGCAAGAAGGCUAACACACGAAUUGUGACAAUACUCUGCGAGCGCCCACUGCUACGAGCAUUAGUACGCCUCUCCGUAGGAUACUAUGGCCUUUUUCGUUAUGCGAUAGCGUCUGCACAAUGUGAUAAAGACUGUUUAGGCUUCAACUGAAAUCUCUAGAGCGAAUGCUGUUAAACGUGUCAGAAUCGUUGGGAAAGAAGAAGUGAAAG
Varroa destructor (honeybee mite) is the source of this 429-nucleotide long non-coding RNA. RefSeq lists it as uncharacterized. The record is from RefSeq and is a predicted model, not a curated record. Lineage: Eukaryota; Metazoa; Arthropoda; Arachnida; Mesostigmata; Varroidae.